Molecule: long non-coding RNA, 1064 nt
Filed under: Anas platyrhynchos platyrhynchos (common mallard)
Lineage: Eukaryota; Metazoa; Chordata; Aves; Anseriformes; Anatidae
Description: lncRNA (ENSAPLG00000031185.1)
Source: RNAcentral
CUCCUUUUGCAAGCUCUGCCAUCCUGCUGAACACUGGAGAAGUGAUAGUGAUGGAGAACUGGGAGUAGUGGGAGAAAGGAGAGAAUGGAGUUCCCUGGCACACCUGCAUAUAUCCCUGCUGCAAUGCCCCCACCCAGAGGAACUGGCCUCUGAGACUUACCUCUAGGCACAGCAGUGAAUAAUGUUUGACUUGGAGAGAAGACAGACAGAAAGAGCUGUCACAGAAAUGUUUAACAAGCUAGAGGGAAAAAAAAAAAAAAUCUGAACUCCCCGUUCUACAAUCCAACAGCAUGAGGACACCCCAGAAUGCUGCACGUGACCUUACUGUCAUCUUAUCAGAUUAGCUGGAACUCACUACCGCAGGGUGCUGGGGGGCACAAGAGCUAAGCAAGAUUUUUUUAAGAGGAAGGUAGUACUUAUAAUGCUCUCCAAAUGUUCUGUUGGAAUAGUAACUAUUUAAAACACGUCAGACUUCCAACAGAAAAAUGUGCCUUCUUGCUUCUGAUAAACCAUCCUCAAGGCUGUGGGGCUGAGGAGGAAUUUGCCCUCAAGCUUGGUUAGUCUAGAACCAACCACCACGGAGCGUCUUGAAGGAUUUCUCCGGAGGAACUGUUAAUAAUGACAUUUGGACUCAGAAUGGCCUAUGGAGCUACAGAGCCGUUAGGCUGACUCAAACCUCUGCUAUGACGAGAAUGGACAGCAUCUGGCCACAUGAGGAUGGAAUGAGAAAUAUCUCAAUGUUGCUGAACAGGAGACAGAUCUCCCCUUAUCUCUGUGCUGAAGCUCUUUGCUGGGACUUGAGACGAGUUGCAAAUGCCUGACAAGGUAGGCUGUUGAGAUCUUGUCUCUCAGCACUUCUGCUCACAGGAACUUGGGAAGCCAGGCUCUGUAGUGCACAAACCUUACUCCGGGCAUUAUCACCGUAUUCCAACACAGGCAGCUGAUUUUGAUUCAGCAGUGGUGGCUUCCAGAAACAGAGGGAGUGCACAUACAUCUCCAGACGGGUGCUGAAUAGAAAAAUGAAAAUAACUAAAUAAAAAUCGCUGAGAACAGAGAUGGUGACA